UAUUGAGUCAUUAGCAGUAUUUACAUAUCUGAGCAUCAGUAGAAUAGCAAUCGUGACAGUGAGUAGAGCACAGGGAGUUCCCAGGGAGGAGGAGCGGAUCUACCACACCUUGAAGAAAAGAACAGCCUCAGCUCUAGGGGACCCAAUCCCAUUCUAGCCUCAGAUCUUCAAAAGGGAGGGGCUGGCCCCAUCUCUGGCACAGAAGAGGAAGCCUUGAGUUGCCCCAAAGGCCGUUGAACAAUGCUCUGCUCUCUUCUUUCCCUUCUCCUUCUCAGUGUUUCCUUAGGUACCCAAGCUCAGACUGUCCAUCAAUGGCCACCUGCCAGGGUGCAGUCUGUGGGCAGCCCUCUGUCUCUGGAGUGCACCGUGAAGGGAACAUCAAAUCCUAACCUAUACUGGUACCGGCAGGCCGCAGGAGGGGCCCUCCAGCAGCUCUUCUACUCCAUCAGUGCUGACCAGGUAGACGCCGUGGCCUCCCAUGGCCUCACAGCCUCCAGAAAGAAGGAUGGCCAGUUCUUCCUGCAUUCUGAAAAGCUGCUCCUCAGUGACUCUGGCUUCUAUCUCUGUGCCUGGAGUCUCACACUGAGCUGGGUGGGGCAGACAUCUGUGCAAAAACUCCACCCUUUCCUGAACCCUCACCACCCGCCCUCCCUGGAAGCCCUUACCCAGAGAUGGGUGGAAGAUGUUUGUAACUAG
Perognathus longimembris pacificus (Pacific pocket mouse) is the source of this 696-nucleotide non-coding RNA. The record is from the annotation of a RefSeq genome assembly. Lineage: Eukaryota; Metazoa; Chordata; Mammalia; Rodentia; Heteromyidae.